This 755-nucleotide ribosomal RNA is filed under the name uncultured archaeon. RNAcentral describes it as "bacterial SSU rRNA". It matches the Rfam family "Archaeal small subunit ribosomal RNA", at positions 102 to 859 of the family's 1478-position model. The record is from RNAcentral.
AGUCAACAUGCCCAGGGGACGUGGAUAACCUCGGGAAACUGAGGAUAAACCGCGAUAGGCCAAGAUUUCUGGAAUGAAUCAUGGUUUAAAUCUAUAUGGCCCCUGGAUUGGACUGCGGCCGAUCAGGCUGUUGGUGAGGUAAUGGCCCACCAAACCUGUAACCGGUACGGGCUCUGAGAGGAGGAGCCCGGAGAUGGGCACUUAGACAAGGGCCCAGGCCCUAUGGGGCGCAGCAGGCGCGAAACCUCUGCAAUAAGCGAAAGCUUGACAGGGUUACUCUGAGUGAUUUCCGCUAAGGAAGUCUUUUGGCACCUCUAAAAAUGGUGCAGAAUAAGGGGUGGGCAAGUCUGGUGUCAGCCGCCGCGGUAAUACCAGCACCCCGAGUGGUCGGGACGAUUAUUGGGCCUAAAGCAUCCGUAGCCGGUCCUGCAAGUCCUCCGUUAAAUCCACCCGCUCAACGGUUGGGCCGCGGGGGAUACUACAGGGCUAGGAGGCGGGAGAGGCAAGCCGGUACUCGAUGGGUAGGGGUAAAAUCCACUGAUCCAUUGAAGACCACCAGUGGCGAAGGCGGCUUGCCAGAACGCGCUCGACGGUGAGGGAUGAAAGCUGGGGGAGCAAACCGGAUUAGAUACCCGGGUAGUCCCAGCUGUAAACGAUGCAGACUCGGUGAUGGGCUGGCUUCGUGCCAACCCGGUGCCGCAGGGAAGCCGUUAAGUCUGCCGCCUGGGGAGUACGGUCGCAAGACUGAAACUUAA